Sycon ciliatum is the source of this 971-nucleotide long non-coding RNA. RefSeq lists it as uncharacterized. The record is from RefSeq and is a predicted model, not a curated record. The transcript is spliced from 4 exons. Lineage: Eukaryota; Metazoa; Porifera; Calcarea; Leucosolenida; Sycettidae.
CUCCCACAGGAUGCAAUUAUCUAGUAGUGGCUUGUCGUUGACACUGACGAAUUUGCUGCCCCGGGACAGGGGAGUCUACAAAAUCUUGAUGAGCAACUCCCAAGGAAAUGACAACCGGACGUUCUCCAUGGAUAUUCUGUUUCCUCCAGUCGUCUUACAUAACUCUGUGCUGAACAACACCAGACAACUUGGAGAUAAUAUCACCUUCAUGAUCUACCUGACCCAAUCCUCAAAUCCAUCCCCAAACUGGUUUGUCUUCCACAAUCACAUCCCUCUCAGCGAAACAUUAUACAGGAGUAAUUUUUCCAGAACCAAAGAUCUUUUUAUGGUAACAAGAAUUCAUUUGAAAGUGUCCGAUGGUGGCUUGUAUACAUGUGUCGUGAAUAACACCCAAGGUUCAGACAGGGUCACGUUUCGUCUAGAUGUUCAGGCACCACCCAUUGUGGACACAUUCUCAGCCUUAAACACCACCAGACUGCUCGGUGAAAAUGCCACCUUCUCCGUCACCCUGAAAUACACACCCAAUCCAAUGCCAGCUAUAGUAUGGAUGCACAAUGGAUCCCUAAUCAACACACGCUCAGACAGAACGCAAUUGUCGAGCAAUGGCUUGUCGUUGACACUGAAAAAUCUGUUACCCGCGGACGGGGGAGUUUACACCAUCUUUGUGAACAACUCUCUGGGAACUACAAAUGCAACAUUCUCCAUGGAUAUUCGGGUGCCACCAAUCGUGGACACGUUCUCAGCCGUAAACACCACCAGACUGCUAGGUGAAAAUGCCACCUUCUACGUCACCCUGAAACAUACACCAAAUCCAAUGCCAGACAUCACAUGGACUCACAAAGGAUCUCCGAUCAACACAAGCUCCCACAGGAUGCGAUUGUCCAGUAGUGGCUUGUCGUUGACACUGACGAAUUUGCUGCCUCUGGACAGGGGAGUCUACAAAAUCCUGAUGAGCAACUCCGAAGGAAGUG